This 403-nucleotide ribosomal RNA is filed under the name uncultured bacterium. Its description in RNAcentral is "partial 16S ribosomal RNA". It matches the Rfam family "Bacterial small subunit ribosomal RNA", at positions 30 to 526 of the family's 1533-position model. The record is from RNAcentral.
AUUGAACGCUGGCGGCAGGCCUAACACAUGCAAGUCGAGCGAGCGGCGGACGGGUGAGUAAUGUAUGGGGACUGCCCGAUAGAGGGGGAUAAAUACUGGAAACGGUGGCUAAUACCGCAUACUAUCGGAUAACCCAUAUGGGAUUAGCUCGUAGGUGGGGUAAAGGCUCACCUAGGCGACGAUCCCUAGCUGGUCUGAGAGGAUGAUCAGCCACACUGGGACUGAGACACGGCCCAGACUCCUACGGAGGCAGCAGUGGGGAAUAUUGCACAAUGGGCGCAAGCCGGAUGCAGCCAUGCCUCGUGAAUGAAGAAGGCCUUCGGGUGGUAAAGUUCUUUCGGUAGCGAGGCGUUACCGACAGAUGAAGCACCGGCUAACUCCGUGCCAGCAGCCGCGGUAAUAC